RNAcentral lists this ribosomal RNA (253 nucleotides) under uncultured bacterium. RNAcentral describes it as "partial 16S ribosomal RNA". It matches the Rfam family "Bacterial small subunit ribosomal RNA", at positions 524 to 776 of the family's 1533-position model. The record is from RNAcentral.
UACGGAGGGUGCAAACGUUGCUCGGAAUCAUUGGGCGUAAAGCGCACGUAGGCGGUCCAGCAAGUCGGGUGUGAAAGCCCUCGGCUUAACCGAGGAAGUGCAUUCGAAACUACUGGACUUGAAUACUGGAGAGGGUUGCGGAAUUCCCGGUGUAGAGGUGAAAUUCGUAGAUAUCGGGAGGAACACCGGUGGCGAAGGCGGCGACCUGGGUCGAGACUGACGCUGAUGCGCGAAAGCGUGGGGAGCAAACAGG